Molecule: ribosomal RNA, 402 nt
Filed under: uncultured bacterium
Lineage: Bacteria
Description: bacterial SSU rRNA
Rfam family: Bacterial small subunit ribosomal RNA
Source: RNAcentral
AUUGAACGCUGGCGGCGUGCUUAACACAUGCAAGUCGUGCGGUAACAGGCGUAGCAAUACGUGCUGACGAGCGGCGAACGGGUGCGUAAUACAUGGGAAUCUGCCCUUUAGUGGGGAAUAACCCGGCGAAAGCCGGGCUAAUGCCGCAUAAGAUCUUCGGAUGAAAGCGGGGGAUCGUAAGACCUCGCGCUGAUGGAUGAGCCCAUGUCGGAUUAGCUAGUUGGUGAGGUAACGGCUCACCAAGGCGACGAUCCGUAGCUGGUCUGAGAGGACGGCCAGCCACACUGGGACUGAGACACGGCCCAGACUCCUACGGGAGGCAGCAGUGGGAAUAUUGGACAAUGGGCGAAAGCCUGAUCCAGCGACGCCGCGUGUGUGAAGAAGGCCUGCGGGUUGUAAAGC